Molecule: long non-coding RNA, 3212 nt
Organism: Gallus gallus (chicken)
Lineage: Eukaryota; Metazoa; Chordata; Aves; Galliformes; Phasianidae
Source: Ensembl
CGGUUCUAUGUAGGUAGCCCUCAGAUCUGCUAAGCAAAAAGGUAAAAGUGAUGCAACAGCAAAAUGUCCACUAGAUGCCAGGCUUCCUUUGCAGAGCAGAGCAGCUGCACAGCUUUGCAAAGCUUUACACAAAUAGCCUCUCUCUCCGAUGUAGUGGACACAAGCUGUAGUGUUUAGCACCAAAUCCUACUACCUUUUGGGUUCAGUGACAAACCCUCUGGAUUUAUCCCUGCUAUCUCCCAGAAGUUUUCAAGAAGGGCAAAAGACAUUUCAGAAGAACUAAAUAUAGGAGCUGUUGGUAAGAAGAACUGGGUUUUUCUACGUCCCUUAUUUCUGUAUCAGUAGAAAGCUCCCAGAGAAGAGACCGGAAUGAGUUGUGUAGCUGACACACUCGAUCAGCAAACAAACCUAGUUGAACAGUAGCAUGGAUGAUUGCUGACCCUGCCUCCUGUACUCCCAGUGCCACCAUCAACAGGUUUCCUCCAGCCCCCGACUGUCCCUGUCACCCGGUGCCAGAUGGGAAGUGAGAGCUCAGCCGAUCCACCUCUUUGUGGUGGAAACCCCCCGAGCUUCGGCUACAGGUUACUGAAGCCUUCAUGAAAAAUUCAGAACUGCAAAAAAAGUCUGGUAAGCAAUGCAACAGAACAGCAGGAGCCUAGCUGCGUUUAUUCCAGUCUGACUACAAACACUGCAGCAUUGGUAGCAUCAGAAGAAAAACAAAAGCCACAGCUAUCCUUCUUACCUGAAGCAUGAUCAAGGCCUGUAGGUAUCUCUGCACAUCAGAAUGCAUCUUUCCUUCUCUCCAAAAAGCAACAUCCAGCUAACACCCACAUCACGGAGGAAGAUCCAAGGGGAGCUGUGUGUGCAGCCUAUUUCAAGCUUUCUCACCUCUAAGUGACCUGAAUGAACUCUGAGGAUGGAACAAGCUACAGGUGGGGAGAAUGACUUGCCUGCUGAAGCUGCCUGCAGCUGCCAUCCUUCCCAAGGCUUCCUCAGCUGUGCCCUUUAACAGAAAUCUCUGCUCUUCCCUCCCUCUCAAUCCACUCCAAAAAACAAACUAAAGCUGGAGUAAGGCAUCUGCUCUACAUCUUGAUCCCAGGGCAGGAGGCAGGAGAGCCCCAGCAGCAGGCAUAGCCCAGGUGAACCAUCUCUAUAAUGGAGGAAAGCAGCAUCCCUAGCGUUGAACACAGUCUCCUCGCUGGGAAUACUUCUGAAGGGACUGGAGAAGAAGUACAUGGUGCAAGAAGCGUAAGAUGACACACAACCUGUGCUCUUGCCCUGAUACCGAAGGUCACCUAACCCUGGUAGGUCCUAUGUCUUUUGCCACAAACAGGACACAGGGAGAAGCAGCCAGUCUAAGAACUGGAGGCAGCAGUCCCAACAAGGGAUGCUGGCCAACGGUUUGGGCAAGCUCCCAGCUGUACGACUGCCGUAGGGUUAAGCACAUAGGUGUGGAAGUGAUCCAACAAGUCAUCCCAGCUGUCAGCCCAGAGCCAGCAUUUUGAUGGACCAUCCUUAACAGUGGGACUUAGUUCAGCAUAAGUACCAGCCAGAGGAAAAUAGAGGGAGAAACAAAAAGGAGCAUGCAGGUGGAUAAGAAGCAAAUAAUAAAAGAGAAGCUUCUAUCACAGGAACUGACAUCAUGGAAUGGCUUAUGUUGGAAGGGACCUUAAAUCCAAAGAAAUGCAAUUGUAUGGAAGCAUUUGGCCCACUUUCCUCUGCCUUUUUAAAAAGCAGCACAGAAGAGCCUGGUGUCCACACCUAACAGGGAUCCCUGGUUCCCGGAGUGCCAGCUUUGUCCUUGCCCCUGGGUCAGCCUAACCCCAUGCACUGAGCCUUUUCCCAAAGCAGCAUUUGUGUGGCAUGGACAAACACAAGCCCUCCCGUGUCCCUCCUUUUAAAAGCAGACUUCGGAGGAAAAAAACUGCUGCAGGAGAUGGCAUUUAUUGCAGGUAACAGAGAAGGAGUGACUGCUCGCACUGCCGCUAUGGGGCUGGGUCCUGCGAAAAUAAAGAAAUAAAGAAAUAAAAAAUAAAAAGAAAAUCCCAAAGAUCUUAAAAACAAAGCCAGCAGUAGGUGGUUGGGGAUGAAAUGAUGCGCGUUGGCAUGGGCGGUUCUAAGCGUUUGCUUAUCCCAAGCAGAUCUUUAACAACCCCUCCUUUCUAACCCGACAGAUCCAAGGGGUUACGGUGUCGGUGAGCUGCGAUCUCUUAUUUCAAGGAGCAUCAUCGGAAAGACGCUUUGACAAGUUUGUAGCGUUGAACCCGGCGUUUUUCGGGAGGAAAAUCCCGUGCGGGCAGCGCUUGGGGAAAGGGUUAACUCGGUGGCCGCGAUGCGUAUGAAAUGAUGGUAAAUUACCCGGCGCGUUCUCCCGGGGAAGAAAUUAGACUUCAAAAGGGCUGGAGCCCUCCUGAAUAUAUAUCAAGCAGAUGGGCUGAUGCGCUGUCUCGCUGAUGCGCAGUUGAUUAACCGCUCCAUAAAGCGCGGCAGCACCGCUCGGGUGCGCGUCGCUGUCCCGCGUUGGGCACGGGAGCGCGCACCAGGGCGGGCGAGAGGACACGGGGAUUACAGCGAUUAAACACAAAUACAAUAAACGAUAAAGAAGGAAGUUUGGAUGAAUGAGAAAUUAGGUCGUUGUAAGUGGGUGCGAUUUGCUCCGCCAGCCCCAAAACUCGUUUUCCUAGUCCCGAAUGUCGCUCUCCUAGACCCAGGUCUCGGUUUCCCUGCCCGGCGCACGGGGGCACGGCUCCGAGCGGCGGCAGCCCGGUGCGAAGGGCUCCGGUGUCCCCGUCCCGAGCCGGGAGGGAGGGAGCGCACGGCAGAAAGGCAGCGGGGGCAGCGAGGAAACGCUUCGACGUGUUGACACGUCCUGGCCGCGCUCCCAAAGGCGUCCCUCUGCCACCCGAUAGCCCUUCGGAAGGGGCUCUCUGCCUUCCCCGGAGUCGAGUCAGCGGGGGGUUGCCCUCGGCGAGGAGGGAUCUUGGGGGCUCCGCGCGGCCCCCGCCGGUGACAUUCCUGCAGGGGAGCGGCGGCGAUAUCGCAGAGCUUUGCAGCAGAUGCGAGAGCCGCGCGUCCCUGGAGAGCUCCGCCGGCUCCCCACGUGUGCAAGAGGCUAAAGGGAGAGGAGCCAUGGGAGCACGCACACGCGUGAGACCCCCCCGCGCAAGCAGGCGUUGCUUUUGUAUCCCACUCCGACGGCCGUCGCUCCUCGG